GCUUCAACAUCAGUAGGCACAACGAGAAGAAAUCUAUAUACAUCGAUGUUUUGUUUUGUUAUUAUUUUGGUCUUAGAACAACUUUUCAAUUUCCCUGCGGGCACGUCCCAAAAGGAUCAAUAAAGCUAUGUAUCUAACUUAAUUUUUGUGCAAAAAUGCACUUUAUUUCUCAGGUUAAAAUGUACUUUUUGCAGACUCACCUGUAAAGAUCAACAUCACUCAACUAUCUAAAGUCUCAUUCGAGUGUGAAAUCGAGGCAAACCCAAAUGCCACGAUUAUCUGGAGCAGGAAACUGCACGCUUCCCUGGAUCCUCACUAGUCUCCUGAUUCUCUUGACUAUUUUUCUUCUGGGGAUGUUUCUUUAUAUAAUUGGAAAACUUCAAAGGUACCAAGUCCAGCAGUUAUUUUAUGAGUUCAAGUGUAAAACUCUCAAACUGAAAAAGUUUGUUUGUUUUUUUUUUUCUUGCAGUACUUCACAAAGGUUCCAGUCAGACCCUCCGGGUGAAAUUCAAGUUCCAACAGGAAGCUCCUCAAACUCCUCAGAAAAUUCUGGCAUAGAAAAAAAGGGUACUGCCUGCAUACUCUUGCCACGUGAGGCCGGGCAUUGUGGUGCAUUAGGAGAAAGCCAGGACCACCUGUUUGAGCUGGAAUUUAUUGAAGACCGGACAUAACUGGAAGAUAUACGGUAUUCUGCAACUGAAAUGAAAGAUGGCGGAGUUGGGAUAAAGACAGAGACUUUGAGUGGAAACUGGAGAGAAGGACAAUCUGAAAAACACAAGAGAAGAUCAACUUCAUGAAAUAUGAAUCAAUAGAGGAAGUGAAGUUAAAGGAGAGAACCAGAGCAGACAGGACGACAGACCAGAGAUUCACACAAUCAGAGAAAUGUGUUUCACUGACCUCGUCUCACUGAGACUCUCUUCUUCCAUAUUUUCUACAUAGAUAAAGAAUUCAAUGUUUAACUUUAUUUUUACUUUUAAACUGAUAUAGCAUUAGUCAAACAGGCAGACAGAAAUAAAUCAAUCGCAUGACAAUUCUUGUCACUACAAGUUUUCUGUUUCAGGUCAAAUAAAACUUUUGAUUUUAUUCUUUCAACAGUUGAAUAAUCUGGAACUGACUAGAAGUCACUGAGGGGAUGCAUGUUUGCAAAACAAAGUUUUUUUUAAAUCACAAAAAACAACAAAGUUAAUAUGAAUCAUAUAAAUGUUUCUUAAAAGAUGAUUUCUAUUCUAAAUCAUAAAAAAAGCUCAUUUAUAUAAAAACUAGUACAAAUAUGAUAAUAAAUUCAAAUAUUUAAAAAUAAAUGGUCAAUAUCAUUUUUUGCUUCGAUUUUAAAUUUUAUACAAUUAAAAUAUAUAAGUGAAUAAAAGACUUUGUUUUGGUUCCUUGUAAUUUUUUUAAUCCUUAAUUAAAUACUCACAAAGAGCUAUUUAUUUCAUGAAUUAUAAUUUUGCAAAUAAAAGUGCUCAUUUUGAAUAAAUCAAAUCAAAUCAAACUUUAUUUAUAAAAAAAGCGCUUCUCAUGCUUUGCGCAGCUCGAAGCGCUUUACAUUAAAAACAAAAACAUAUACAAUAAAAGCAAACCCCCCCACCCAAUAAAAGCCAACCCUCUAUCAACACAUACAACCCAUCCCACACACAAUGAAUACAAUGAAAAAUGACAUAAAUGAAAAUUGUAAAAACAGACAUAAGGCUUGAAUGAAUUGAAUUAAAUGAAUUAAAUCAUUCUUUAGAGUCUAACUGAGAAGUAAAACUUUAAAUUUUUCCAGUUCAAUGGAGCAAAACAAAAAAGUUGAAAAUACUAUAAUUGAAUUUAUCAUUUUCUAUCUAAGGCAGAACAGAAAACCUCACCUGUGGACGCAGACGACUAAAAUGACGCAACACAGAAGAAAUCCUGCUGCAAUCGGGAUUCUCAGAACAGAAUAAACGGAACGAUUUGUUCCUGAAACAAAUACAAAUAAAUUCCCAUCAGUGAUUUUAAGUAGCUCAAUUUGAACUUUUUUCCUGUUAUACCAUACAUACCUUUAACUUCCUCAGACAAAGUUAAAUUCCAUGUUAUUUCUCUAAAUCCAUUUCUGUCACCUACAGUACAACUGUAAAGUCCUUCUUCUUCUUCUUGAACAUUCACUACUGUCAACUUUGUGGGGAGGUCGGACUUUAUACUCAUCUUAAGAGAAGCUAAAUUAGGAAUAGCGGCACUGAGGACGAUGGAACGAUGAAAUGAUACAUUCUCUUUGCUCCAUUGGAAGACUGCUCCCUCAUUUAGGGGCACGUUACAAGUCAAAGUGACUGAAUCGCCUCUGGAAACCUUCAGGCUUCUGUGCUCAGUUAACGGUGGAUCUGAGGGUUGAAACAGACAACAAAAGUUUGUAUCAUCGAUAUGAAUAAAACCCUGAAUCCUUUCCAUGAAAUGUUUUUCGUACCUGCAAAGAUCAUUUGUGGCUGAAUCAGCUGGAUCAGGAUCAGAACUGCUGUGUUCCUCCAGAACAUGAUGACCAUCAGAGAACAGAAGACAAACUGGAACAGCAAACUGUGGUUUCUAAUACAUGUUUGGAGGAGGUACUGAGAAAAAGGAAGUGGGAAGAUGCUACUUUGCUGAAUGUUAAGGAACGUCUUAAAACUUUGAUUGGAAAGUUUGUUAAAUUGUUCUUGGAUGAGAUUUUUGUUCUUUUUUAUCUUCAUAGAAAGAUCUUUAAAGAUGCAGAAGUUCUAGCAAUGUCAGUAGUUUAAAAGGACAAAGCUCGAGUAUUGUUGGGUUAGUAGUUCUGACUCUUCUCAGGUCUAAGUAUCUCCCACACAUGAUGCAGUAAAACCACCAGCAAUCUGUUGACCAAAUAUGUAGCAAAGUUUAGUUACAGAAUGUCUGUGGUUGUGAUGAAUUUGUGACAGCAAGUUGUAAUAAAAUAAAUAUAUCUGUUAAAAAUAGC
Molecule: long non-coding RNA, 2923 nt
Organism: Oryzias javanicus (javanese ricefish)
Lineage: Eukaryota; Metazoa; Chordata; Actinopteri; Beloniformes; Adrianichthyidae
Source: Ensembl